Pseudonaja textilis is the source of this 3525-nucleotide non-coding RNA. The record is from RefSeq and is a predicted model, not a curated record. NCBI's taxonomy places the organism in Eukaryota, Metazoa, Chordata, Lepidosauria, Squamata, Elapidae.
AAGAAUAAAAAGAAAGAGAAGCCUUUCUGAUUGCCUUUGCAGAAAAUACAAGCGAGCUACAUCUUACUUUUCUACAAAAAAAGCUCACCCUUUCUAUUAUCCAUCUUUUUCCUAAUCAUAAAGAUGUAUCUAUCAUAAAUAAAACCACGAUAUACUUCCCCCAAUUUCAUACAAAAAUGCAAUAAGGGUUAUCUAGGCAUACAUAAACAUUCUUUUUGCUGAUCAAAUAAGUUAACAUAGCCAUCUCUGAAAAUUCAGGUUUUAGGUUUCUGCCUUCAGCUUUUCAGAAUACCCAGGACAAGCAUGUCUCUGAAGACUCAACCACCAUCAUUCUUCCAAUAAAGGAAGAACUAUUAAUAUAAUUUUAUUUACAUGAUCUGAUUUUCCAUCUACCACUCAGGAAAAAGGGAAAUAAAUAAUAACCUGUUAAUACUAUUUCUGUUCACAAUAGGAAGAAUUCAGUGGUGGGAUUCAUAUGUUUUUUCUACCGGUUCUGUGGGCGUGGCAGGGGAAGGAUACUGUAAAAUCUCCAGUCAGAAGUGGUAUUUGCCAAUUCUCCAAACUACUCAAAAUUUCCGCUACCGGUUUUCCAGAACUGGUCAGAACUUGCUGAAUACCAUCUGUGGAAGAGUUCUAAUCUUAUUUAGUUGCCAACUACAUUUCCAGUCCUUCAUUUUGAACUAGGAUAGAAGCUCUACAGGAUAAAGUACACUAAUUCUUUUCCUUUUCUUUUUUUUUUAGGUCAAGUUCUGGCAAGACAUGAGAAAGCUUUGUGCAGUUUCCUUGUGCUUCCUAUUUGUGGCUGAGCCAAAAUGCUUCAGCAGUAAUCUUCUGUUUUGACUGUUCAUUGGCGCUAGAAAUUGUUUUGUGUAUAUUAUGGUUUUGAAAGCAGCCAAAGUUAACCUAGAGAAUGGGCUUCAACUCCUCUGUAUAAGCAAAUAAAAUAUACAAAUAUCAAAUACAGUAAAAUUAAAAACUGGUUGCACCAGUAUAUUUUACUUUGAUGUAACAGCAAAUCGUGUUGAGUCAAGUAGUUAGGGUGAAUCAAUUAGGUAAUGGAAUCAGUACCACAAAGACAGUGCUGCAUUUGAGGGAAAAAAAGAAAUAUCACGAAGUUCUAGGCAGUUACUUUUAGAUUUUUAUCUGAUAUUGGAUAAAGUACUUAUACUCUCUGAAGAAAUCCAUCAAAAUAUUAACUAGCCCUGUCUCUGGCCUUUCCAAGUACUCAAAGAUCAGCCAGAUUCUGCCACUUCUGAAGAUAGAUGGUAUGUCCUAGUAUAAAUUCAGAAGUCCUGCAAAUCGUGUAAAUCUGUUUUAUCAGGGUCUGCAAUUUUACGUUCUGUUUAUAUUCACCCAUGUUUUCUGGUAGGAAGGAGAGAUUUAGAACAAGCAUCCAUUGAGUGAUGCUUGCAGUCCUGGGUUUCAGGCAGUGAACAUUUCCAGAACUUUACGGAAAUACUUGAAAAUGAAUCAACAAGAAUGUGUGCCCUGUUUCUAGCCUACUUGCUUCAUUAAAUUCUGGGCCAGGGGAUUUGAACAAAUUGCACAAAUUAUGCAAACUAAUUACAUUUGCUUAUAUGGUAUGCUUGCUUAUUUGCUUAAUUUUAUGUUGGUUUCAGAAAAAGUUAUGAUUAUUGGAGAAAUUUUAAACUUGUUCAUUUCUGUAUCCAAUCAAAGAGUUUCCUUGAAGUAAGAUGGGUGGCGUAUACAUUUAUAAUACAUAUAAAAUACAAUAAAAUCAUGAGGAAUAAAUUCUUGCUCUGUCAUGAGAAGCAGAAUUAUGUAUUCAACAUCCCAGAAAUACUUGUCAGAAAUUCUGAAUAGGUUAUGUUUCUAACAUGUGAAUUCAAUCUUUAAAGCUGAUUCAAGAAAAUGUAAGAGAACACACCAAACUAAAUAUGAAUAUUGAUAUAAAUUCUCAAUUCCCUGUUUAUAAUACAAUAAUGACAUACUGUAACACAACUCGAUACAAAGACUAAAAAGCAAUGGGUACAGUGCUACUGUCUGCUUAGGGUUGACUUUCCAAUUAAUGCAUAGUACCGUUAUUAUACUAAAUGAACGUGGUUAGGAUGUCAUUCUAUGUUUUCCCUGCAAAGCAACUAUCUACAGCCCUGAAUCAUUUUUCAUUUUGCAAGUUUAUGAGACCUAUUGCUAUAUUUCAGAUUAAUAAUUUAUAGUAAAAUAAAAAAUGCAUUUAUUAUAGGUUAGAGGUAGACUGUAGUAUACAAUUAAAUGUAUUUAAACCCAUUGAGCCUGUGCUGAGUUAUGUACUUCUCAUUUUUUUUGAGAUUACCAGGAAAUGGGAGUUGGAAUCAUCUAUGAGACAGGCUAGUCUUUAACCCCACAAAGCUUCCCCAAAUAGUUCAAAAUGUGGCCAUCUUGACAGUGCAAUCUAGGAGUCAAAGAUCAAUUGUUGAUUAAAUGCCUACCAUUGAUGGGUCAUGGUGACUUGGUCACUUGUGAUACUGUAGUAAGGGGUUAAGGUCCUUGGGAAGUACAUAAUAUUUAAGCUGAAAUAGGAUUGUGCUUUUAUAUUUUCUAAAAUAUAUUUUUUAAACAUCAGGAAGAACAUGAUACUUUUCCUAUUUUUCAUAAUAGACAAAAAUCUUGAAGCACAUUAAUGAGCAAAGAAAUGCACUGUGCAUAACGUCUUUCAAAAAUAGGGAUGCUCCUUUUAUUUUCAUCAUCCACCAAAUGGUACUAUUUUCUCAAUUUAAAAUACAGGGAUUUGUUAGAAAAAUAUGUAAAUUUUUAAAAAUUUGACUUCUCUGGAAGUCUGUUUGAAGAACGAUAAACUAUUAUCAUCCCACUUAUGUCUCCAGAGACAGUAACACAUUAAUAUAAAUGGGCUUUACUUCUGUAACAAUAAAAUAUAUUACAUUGCUGAUAUAUUUUGUCUUUUUCCAUUUUUAUUGGCGAGUCUUAAUAUAUUCCAUUGUACUCUUUUUCUUUAUUUCCUCAAGAGGAGUAAAUUCCACCAAAUAUAUAGUAAUGCCUGUCAUUUGUAUUUUGAGCUUCUGUUGAGUUACUUUGAAAUGAUUAAAAAAUUAGAAGUUUGUACAAAUCUAUACAUAAACUUUAAAAAAUUCCAAGAUAAAGCAGGGUAGAUUUGACUGGCUAAUGCAGUGAUACAUGUGCAAAACGAAAAUGAACUACUGUAUAGGAGUGUGCAUGGGGUUGAUUUAAACUGAAGUCUGUGUAGCAAGUGAAACUUAAAAUCAACUUCAAAUCCCUGUAAAGUUUAUUUUUAUUGAUAAAUGGCCAAAAUAAAGUUUCUGUCCAUCGGCUUACGAAGGUUUCAGUGUUGCUGUUCUCAUGUCGGCAAUGUUCCUUCUAUUUUGGAUGUUAUUAUUCAAGGAAGACAUAAAAGGUUCAUUCACAAUACACUUGUACACAAAUUGAAAAUUGUGGUUAAGUGAUUAAGGCACCAAGUUAGAAAUUGAGAGAUCAAAGCCAUCUGGGUGACUUUGGGCCAGUCACUCUCUCUCAGCUCAGCUCAGCUCACAGAGUUAUUGUGGGCAAAAU